Molecule: ribosomal RNA, 417 nt
Filed under: Plicaria trachycarpa
Lineage: Eukaryota; Fungi; Ascomycota; Pezizomycetes; Pezizales; Pezizaceae
Description: SSU rRNA
Rfam family: Eukaryotic small subunit ribosomal RNA
Source: RNAcentral
GUGACAAUAAAUACUGAUACAGGUGGUUUUACACCUCUUGUAAUUGGAAUGAGUACAAUUUAAAUCUCUUAACGAGGAACAAUUGGAGGGCAAGUCUGGUGCCAGCAGCCGCGGUAAUUCCAGCUCCAAUAGCGUAUAUUAAAGUUGUUGCAGUUAAAAAGCUCGUAGUUGAACCUUGGACCUGGCCGACCGGUCUGCCUCACCGCAUGCACUGGUUUGGCCGGGUCUUUCCUUCUGGCAAGCCGCAUGCCCUUCACUGGGUGUGUUGGGGAACCAGGACUUUUACUUUGAAAAAAUUAGAGUGUUCAAAGCAGGCAUUAGCUCGAAUACAUUAGCAUGGAAUAAUAGAAUAGGACGUGUGGUUCUAUUUUGUUGGUUUCUAGGACCACCGUAAUGAUUAAUAGGGAUAGUCGGGGC